This 253-nucleotide ribosomal RNA is filed under the name uncultured bacterium. RNAcentral describes it as "partial 16S ribosomal RNA". It matches the Rfam family "Bacterial small subunit ribosomal RNA", at positions 524 to 776 of the family's 1533-position model. The record is from RNAcentral.
UACGGGGGGGGCAAGCGUUGUUCGGAAUUACUGGGCGUAAAGGGCGCGUAGGCGGCCUGCUAAGUCGGACGUGAAAUCCCCGGGCUCAACCCGGGAACUGCGUCCGAUACUGGAAGGCUUGAAUCCGGGAGAGGGAUGCGGAAUUCCAGGUGUAGCGGUGAAAUGCGUAGAUAUCUGGAGGAACACCGGUGGCGAAGGCGGCAUCCUGGACCGGCAUUGACGCUGAGGCGCGAAAGCCAGGGGAGCAAACGGG